CUCCGAGACAAUAUAUUGCAAAGAAGGCCUCAAAAGUUCUCUUCUAAUCAUGUCAUGUAUAGCUGUAUAGGACCUCCGUUGAUUCAUUUAGCCUGCUUUUAAAACUCAAUUUUGACAUUUAAAAAACACACUCAAUUAUGCAUUUGUGUAGUCAUAGAACUAGCUUAGCAACCAACAAUACUUUCAGAACUAUCAGUGCAUUCACUCUCAAGAGUGCAUUGUUGGAUGCAUACUUUACAUUGAUGUACUUGCAACAACACCACGGAAGCAAUAUGCGUGAGCUUAAUAUUUGUGAAGGACAACUCCCUGUGUGCAAUCACUAGGUAGAGCAAUAUGGGAUUUUUUAUUUUUAUUUUUUUUGUGGUAGCAUAUGCACUAAACUCCUUAGAGAAGGGUUUAAACCCCAAGCAAACAUUAAAGUUGAACAAAUCCUUUAGAGUCUAAAAGAAAAACCUUGUAAAUAAACAAAUAGCACAUCAUUGUAGAUUUAUGUGCACUUACAACG
RNAcentral lists this long non-coding RNA (505 nucleotides) under Brachypodium distachyon (stiff brome). RNAcentral describes it as "long non-coding RNA (BDIS_LNC004566)". Lineage: Eukaryota; Viridiplantae; Streptophyta; Magnoliopsida; Poales; Poaceae. The record is from RNAcentral.